Molecule: ribosomal RNA, 145 nt
Filed under: Pseudomonas aeruginosa
Lineage: Bacteria; Pseudomonadati; Pseudomonadota; Gammaproteobacteria; Pseudomonadales; Pseudomonadaceae
Description: partial 16S ribosomal RNA
Rfam family: Bacterial small subunit ribosomal RNA (bases 41-145)
Source: RNAcentral
UGAGCCAAGUUUAGGGUUUUCUCAAAACCCAAGCAGUAUUGAACUGAAGAGUUUGAUCAUGGCUCAGAUUGAACGCUGGCGGCAGGCCUAACACAUGCAAGUCGAGCGGAUGAAGGGAGCUUGCUCCUGGAUUCAGCGGCGGACG